This 718-nucleotide unclassified non-coding RNA is filed under the name Hevea brasiliensis (rubber tree). The record is from RNAcentral. Lineage: Eukaryota; Viridiplantae; Streptophyta; Magnoliopsida; Malpighiales; Euphorbiaceae.
AAAAGAUGAAAGCCUUUUGCAGUGCAGCAGAGCUUUUGAGCUAGGGCAUGUGUGAAGUUCCGUUCUAUAUAAAAAAGGUCGGCAAUUACUUUUUCAUCUCCGGGCAGGGAAUGAUUUUUCAGUUCCGAGGGCCAUGGAAGUAGAUACUGGAAAUUCGUGUUUUAUUGAGAAGCUGCCUGUAGAAAGAUACGCAUCUACAAGAGAGACAAAGAAGCCCCUAGAAACUAACAAAAGCCCUGCUGCAUUUGUCAAUCACGCUGCUAUUGCUUGGCAUGAGAGCAGAAGAAAAUGGGUUGGAGAAGCAUCGAGGAAGUCAGAAAGGACGCCGAAGGACCCAAUUAUAAGUUGGUCAACGACCUAUGAAGAGUUGCUCUCUACAACUGAUCCUUUUUCUGAGCGAAUUCCUUUAACAGAAAUGGUUGACUUUCUAGUCGAUAUCUGGCACGAUGAGGGGCUUUUCGACUAGAUAUUUAUGAAGACAAACUUCAUCUAUGUAUCUUGUGCAGAUUAUUUUGCAGACAGUCUUUGACCCGUAAGAUAUUUAGCUUGACAUUCAACUUCUUCUAGCCAUUGAUCUUUAUAGGACCUUCCGUUUUAUGUGGUACCAUUCGUAGUCAUUGCCUAGUAACGUUAACAGGCGAACGAAGUCCUCUAUCUGAAUCAUGUUGUAUCAAAUAUUGUUAUGUAUAAGUACUGAAUUAUUUAAGCAGAUUCUUAA